UGGAAUACAAUUGUAGAAUUUACACAAUGAUUUUGCUAUUGCGAUAUUCUAUUCCAAAGAUUCUAAAAUCAUCCAAACUAAUUAAUCGAUUUUCUGUAUAUUAUUUUCUAUAACAAAAAUACAAGAUAUUUUUUGUAAAAUACAUCAUACUAUUUCAGCUUUUGACAAUUUGAAAAGAAAAAAACAAACAUCCAAAUAAACUAUACCACC
RNAcentral lists this long non-coding RNA (210 nucleotides) under Capsella rubella. RNAcentral's name for it is "long non-coding RNA (CRUB_LNC001834)". Lineage: Eukaryota; Viridiplantae; Streptophyta; Magnoliopsida; Brassicales; Brassicaceae. The record is from RNAcentral.